Molecule: ribosomal RNA, 253 nt
Filed under: uncultured bacterium
Lineage: Bacteria
Description: partial 16S ribosomal RNA
Rfam family: Bacterial small subunit ribosomal RNA
Source: RNAcentral
GACGUAGGACGCGAGCGUUAUCCGGAGUUACUGGGCGUAAAGGGCGGGCAGGCGGUCGUGCAAGAUGGGUGUGAAAUCUCCCGGCUCAACCGGGAGGGGCCACUCGUGACUGCGCGGCUGGAGGGCAGCAGAGGCGCGUGGAAUUCCGGGUGGAGUGGUGAAAUGCGUAGAGAUCCGGAGGAACACCAGAGGCGAAGGCGGCGCGCUGGGCUGCACCUGACGCUGAACCGCGAAAGCCAGGGGAGCGAACGGG